Molecule: ribosomal RNA, 253 nt
Filed under: uncultured bacterium
Lineage: Bacteria
Description: partial 16S ribosomal RNA
Rfam family: Bacterial small subunit ribosomal RNA
Source: RNAcentral
GACAGAGGGGGCAAGCGUUGCUCGGAAUCACUGGGCGUAAAGGGCGCGUAGGCGGGAUGGCAAGUCGGUCGUGAAAUCCCUCGGCUCAACCGAGGAGCGUCGGCCGAUACUGCCGUUCUUGAGGGAUGCAGAGGAGACUGGAAUUCCCGGUGUAGCGGUGAAAUGUGUAGAGAUCGGGAGGAACACCGGUGGCGAAGGCGGGUCUCUGGGCAUUUCCUGACGCUGAGGCGCGAAAGCGUGGGGAGCAAACGGG